AGAGUGAAGCAUAAGGAUGAGAAUUCAGAAGGAAGUUUCUCCAGCAGUCAUGGCAAUGGUGGACAAAUGGCCCCGAAUAGAUUCAUAGGUGGUUUCCAGUGGGUGGCACAACUGAGUGGAGGUGUGACGUGGCGGGUGGCCAGGCUAGGUGAGAAAGAUGUCUCUAUGAAAUGAUGAGGGGCUUGUCCUUAAUCCAGUCUGGGACAAGGAGCCUUGGUUGCAGGGUGCAUUUGUAGGCUGUGUUUUUCAGGGAUUACUCUGGAGACCAUGCUCACGUAGACUGGAGCCAUGGCGAUUAACAUUCAGUAGUGUUUAGUAAUGCGGUUGAGAGCUGACGUGGGGCCCAUAGUGAACACUGGCAUAAUGCAUUCAGCUAGGACGGCGGGUGGGGUUUAAGUGGGGGGGAAGGGAGUGUAUCUUAACAGGCCAAGCUCAAUCUUAUAAACAGACUUUUAGAAAAGUGCAAAUACUUCCUCUGAUCUCUUUAUAUAACCCUUGUUCCUCUAAUGACUUUCUGAAAGAAAAUCUCUGGCACUGAAUACCCACCCCAGCAGGACCAUGAGUGGAUGUCCCUUGAGGCUGGGCACUGAGUGCAUGUCAAUCGGUUCUGUUGUCACACCAGCACAGAGGUGGGGUGCCACUGUGGUUAUCCAGUAGGCCAGGAAAUGGCACCAUGGAGAGAUUUUGUAACUCUCCAGGAAGACAUAGCUGGUGGACAGCAAAUCUGCCCACCCCCAGGGGUCAGACAAUGUAGAAGCUAUCUUGUGGACGCCACGAUGUUGACCUAUCAGCGGAUGCUUAUUCCCUUGGGAGGGACUUGAGAUCGUUUCACAAUUUAGGUUUUCUGGCACUUUGGGUAGUAUGUGUCUAAAGCACCUGAGCUACUAGUACGAGGGGAGUUGCUGGUGGGAAGUUGGAUCAUGGGAUCACAGGAUCAUGGGUGACCACAGCUCAGGGCUGAGAGGCCAGGAGGGGAGUGGCUCAGGGCCAGUUCUCCAUGUAGAAACACACCGGAUCUGGUGGCCACAUAAGUUCUCAGAAUCAUGUAGUGCUAUUACUGGUCAAUGGCUUGGCCAUGUAUGUUCCAAAUGGAAACUGGGUGAGACAGGUGUGUUGAGUCUGGUUUGCUGGAGUACCUCUGUACCUGGACCAGGAACAGCACCUGGCACCUGAUGUUUGCUGAGGGAGCCAGUAGGAGACAUGUUGCUAGCACACUGUAAAAGAGAUCCAACCUACUCAGCCACAUUCCUGUUCCUAUUCCUACCAAGUCCUGGAGUCAUUUAUUCCUUUUUUUCUUUGGGUGGGGGAGUGUGUCCCUGGCCAUGAGCUGCCUCUGCUC
This is a long non-coding RNA of Perognathus longimembris pacificus (Pacific pocket mouse), 1339 nucleotides long. RefSeq lists it as uncharacterized. The transcript has 3 exons. The record is from RefSeq and is a predicted model, not a curated record. NCBI's taxonomy places the organism in Eukaryota, Metazoa, Chordata, Mammalia, Rodentia, Heteromyidae.